This 494-nucleotide ribosomal RNA is filed under the name Macrophiothrix lampra. RNAcentral's name for it is "partial 16S ribosomal RNA". It matches the Rfam family "Bacterial large subunit ribosomal RNA", at positions 1819 to 2597 of the family's 2925-position model. Lineage: Eukaryota; Metazoa; Echinodermata; Ophiuroidea; Amphilepidida; Ophiotrichidae. The record is from RNAcentral.
CGCCUUUGGAGUAAGAUCAAAAGGUCGAGCCUGGCCCGGUGACAUGAGUGUUAAACGGCUGCAGUACUCUGACUGUGCAAAGGUAGCAAAAUCAAUUGUUCAUUAAUUGUGGACUGGAAUCAAUGGUUUGACGAUAGAAGAGCUGUCUUUUUCCACUGGGGUUCUAAAUUAACAAAAAAGUGAAGAGACUUUUAUGUCGAAGCGGGACGAGAAGACCCCGUUGAGCUUUAGGGGGGCACAUUUUUUAAAAAUGUGGCUGCCUUGAGUUGGGGCAACUGUUUUUAUGUUAUAAAACAAAAGCAAUUACAAUAGUGAGUUAAAUCUAUUUUGAUCCUUGAAGUUUGGGUAAAUAAAUCAAGUUACCACGGGGAUAACAGCGUAAUUUUUUUUGAGAGUUCUUAUUGACAAAAAAGUUUGCGACCUCGAUGUUGGAUCACAGUAACCUAGGGGUGCAGCAGCUCCUAAGGGUUGGUUUGUUCAACCAUUAAAACUGU